UUGAUCAUGACUCAGAACGGACGCUGGCGGCAGGCUUACCACAUGCAAGUCGAGCGCCCCCGCAAGGGGAAGCGGCAGACGGGUGAGUAACGCGUGGGAAACGUGCCCUUUGGUUCGGAACAACUCCGGGAAACUGGAGCUAAUACCGGAUAAGCCCUUCGGGGGAAAGAUUUAUCGCCAAAGGAUCGGCCCCGCGUCUGAUUAGCUAGUUGGUGAGGUAAUGGCUCACCAAGGCGACGAUCAGUAGCUGGUCUGAGAGGAUGAUCAGCCACACUGGGACUGAGACACGGGCCCAGACUCCUACGGGAGGCAGCAGUGGGGAAUAUUGGACAAUGGGCGCAAGCCUGAUCCAGCCAUGCCGCGUGAGUGAUGAAGGCCUUAGGGUUGUAAAGCUCUUUUGUCCGGGAAGAUAAUGACUGUACCGGAAGAAUAAGCCCCGGCUAACUUCGUGCCGGCAGCCGCGGUAAUACGAAGGGGGCUAGCGUUGUUCGGAAUCACUGGGCGUAAAGCGCACGUAGGCGGACUUUUAAGUCAGAGGUGAAAGCCUGGAGCUCAACUCCAGAACUGCCUUUGAUACUGGGAGUCUCGAGUUCGGAAGAGGUUGGUGGAACUGCGAGUGUAGAGGUGAAAUUCGUAGAUAUUCGCCAAGAACACCAGUGGCGAAGGCGGCCAACUGGUCCGAUACUGACGCUGAGGUGCGAAAGCGUGGGGAGCAAACAGGAUUAGAUACCCUGGUAGUCCACACCGUAAACGUUGGGCGCUAGGUGUGGGGCCUAUUCCAUGGGUUCCGUGCCGCAGCUAACGCAUUAAGCGCCCCGCCUGGGGAGUACCCGCAAGGCUAAAACU
RNAcentral lists this ribosomal RNA (846 nucleotides) under uncultured bacterium. RNAcentral describes it as "bacterial SSU rRNA". It matches the Rfam family "Bacterial small subunit ribosomal RNA", at positions 13 to 901 of the family's 1533-position model. The record is from RNAcentral.